This 999-nucleotide long non-coding RNA is filed under the name Homo sapiens (human). Its description in RNAcentral is "long non-coding RNA NONHSAT207269.1". The record is from RNAcentral. Lineage: Eukaryota; Metazoa; Chordata; Mammalia; Primates; Hominidae.
UUGGGACACAUUCUCCAGCCUCUUCUGUUUGCAGGUGCCUGAGGACACCUUCAAACCUUCUCUGCUCCGUUGUAGAACUUUUUCCAGCAAGGGGGAGAGGAAGGACAAAAGGCUAUGCCUUGGGCUCCAAAGUUUAGGAGAGGAGCCAUGGAGAUGGACAGAGAGAGGUCCCAUUGUCUCUGGACACUGCUGGCCAAGGGCCUCCACCUCAGGAGCUGCUGCCUCUCAUCCACUUCCGGGGCGAGGGUAAUGGAAGCUCCCUACCGCCAAGCACCACGACCCUCCCCUGCCUUCUCCAGGCCUAAGGGUCAAGCUGCCAGGCCACCAGGCAGUGCCAGGGCAAUGACAUCUGCCCCUGCUCAAGUCCUCUGCCCUUGGGAGGUCCCACGACAGGCCUUGGCUCCAACCUUCAGCACCCAAGACCCCAGGAUGGCCCAUACUCUCAGGGGCCCCUGCCCUGGCCCUGGCCCACUUUCCUGGUCAUGUUCUCUUAGGAGUGGCUUCUAGCUAUAAAAGCCCAGGUCCUGGCACAGGCUAGGUGCCUUCUGACUGUUGGUUGAUGCAGGAAUAGACAUGAUCAUGUGACUGCUGCCCUCCCUCCAACCCCCAUCCAGCAGGGAGAGGCCCACUCUGGCCUCUGGAAGCCGGAGAAGAGGCUCACCUGCCCAAAGGCCUUCUGUCCAAAGUUCAAGGGAGCCCCACCCCUCCCAGAUGCUCAGCUCACCCCACCCCCAACAGGCAGGGCUACAGUGUGGUGGGCACUGCCACACCCGGACCUGCCACAACCUCUUGGAGUCAGUGACAAGAACCAAACGCACCCCAGCCUCCACCCCUCCCCUUUCCUGCUUUUAUUAUUUUCUUUUCCAUAAAGAUUAGUCUGUGUUGCUCCUCUAUCAAGGCCUGGAGGAUAAACAUGUGGUCCGGAGGCAGAGAAACCCCAGGCCUGAAGGCCCCACUGCCCCCACCCCAGCAGCAUAAACCCAGGGCUUUUAAGCAAGG